GACGAACGCUGGCGGCGUGCUUAACACAUGCAAGUCGAACGGAAAGGCCCUGCUUUUGUGGGGUGCUCGAGUGGCGAACGGGUGAGUAACACGUGAGUAACCUGCCCUUGACUUUGGGAUAACUUCAGGAAACUGGGGCUAAUACCGGAUAGGAGCUCCUGCUGCAUGGUGGUGGUUGGAAAGUUUCGGCGGUUGGGGAUGGACUCGCGGCUUAUCAGCUUGUUUGUGGGGUAGUGGCUUACCAAGGCUUUGACGGGUAGCCGGCCUGAGAGGGUGACCGGCCACAUGGGGACUGAGAUACGGCCCAGACUCCUACGGGAGGCAGCAGUGGGGAAUAUUGCACAAUGGGCGGAAGCCUGAUGCAGCAACGCCGCGUGCGGGAUGACGGCCUUCGGGUUGUAAACCGCUUUCGCCUGUGACGAAGCGUGAGUGACGGUAAUGGGUAAAGAAGCACCGGCUAACUACGUG
Molecule: ribosomal RNA, 468 nt
Filed under: uncultured bacterium
Lineage: Bacteria
Description: partial 16S ribosomal RNA
Rfam family: Bacterial small subunit ribosomal RNA
Source: RNAcentral